Molecule: ribosomal RNA, 253 nt
Filed under: uncultured bacterium
Lineage: Bacteria
Description: partial 16S ribosomal RNA
Rfam family: Bacterial small subunit ribosomal RNA
Source: RNAcentral
UACGGAGGAGGCAAGCGUUACCCGGAAUCACUGGGCGUAAAGGGUACGUAGGCGGCUUAGCAAGUCUGGGGUGAAAGGCCACAGCUCAACUCUGGGAGGGCCCUGGAAACUGACAGGCUAGAGUGCGGGAGGGGAUGCGGGAAUUCCCGGUGUAGCGGUGAAAUGCGUAGAGAUCGGGAAGAACACCUGAGGCGGAGGCGCGCAACUGGGCGGCAACUGACGCUGAGGCGCGAAAGCGAGGGGAGCGAAUGGG